AUUCGUCUCGGACCUGGCUGGCGCGCUGCGUACUCGCAGGCAGGGUGCACUUUCCCCGGCUAGCGGAAGGCCACGACCGGUUCGGUGGCGGUCAGGAGCCCGGAGCGGGAGGUAGCCGUGAUCGGUUCACGCCGAUUGCGGAACGUACAGCCCUCCGAGGUGGACUCGCCGCUGGACCGAGGAUGCCGCGGUGGCCUCACGCCGCCUAGCCGUCCGGGAGCGUUCGACUUUGGCCACGCUGCUCGCAGCCGGCCGAGACCGCGCGACUGGUACGGGCUCGCGAAACGGGGGCCGCCUAGGGUCAGUGGCGAAUCGGUCGGCAACCCACCAGACCCGUCUUGAAACACGGACCAAGGAGUCUAGCAUGUGCGCGAGUCACGGGGUCUCUCGAAACCCAAGGGCGCAAUGAAAGUGAAGGCCGCCUCCGGCUGGCCCAGGCAAGAUCCCGAGACGUUCGCGUCGAGGGCGCACUGCCGGCCCGUCUCGCUGGCAUCGACCACGAGGCGGAGCAAGAGCGCACACGCUGGGACCCGAAAGAUGGUGAACUAUGCCUGAGUAGGACGAA
This 565-nucleotide ribosomal RNA is filed under the name Dreissena presbensis. RNAcentral describes it as "eukaryotic LSU rRNA". The stretch from base 350 to 565 matches the Rfam family "Eukaryotic large subunit ribosomal RNA", at positions 665 to 850 of the family's 3401-position model. The record is from RNAcentral. Lineage: Eukaryota; Metazoa; Mollusca; Bivalvia; Myida; Dreissenidae.